This 63-nucleotide ribosomal RNA is filed under the name Alexandrium margalefii. RNAcentral describes it as "partial Eukaryotic small subunit ribosomal RNA". Lineage: Eukaryota; Dinophyceae; Gonyaulacales; Pyrocystaceae. The record is from RNAcentral.
AGGAGACGCGCAGCUAGGCAGAACAACGUGCAUGGGGAAUAUCGGCGUGCAGCCGGCGGUCCG